This 305-nucleotide ribosomal RNA is filed under the name uncultured bacterium. RNAcentral's name for it is "bacterial SSU rRNA". It matches the Rfam family "Bacterial small subunit ribosomal RNA", at positions 337 to 640 of the family's 1533-position model. The record is from RNAcentral.
UCCUACGGGGGGCAGCAGUGAGGAAUAUUGGUCAAUGGGAGAGAUCCUGAACCAGCCAAGCCGCGUGAGGGAAGACGGCCCUAUGGGUUGUAAACCUCUUUUGUCGGAGAACAAAACCCGGGACGUGUCCCGGACUGCGUGUAUCCGAAGAAAAAGCAUCGGCUAACUCCGUGCCAAUAGCCGCGGUAAUACGGAGGAUGCGAGCGUUAUCCGGAUUUAUUGGGUUUAAAGGGUGCGUAGGCGGUCCGUUAAGUCAGCGGUAAAAUUGCGGGGCUCAACCCCGUCUAGCCGUUGAAACUGGCAGC